RNAcentral lists this ribosomal RNA (588 nucleotides) under marine sediment bacterium BB0608_AND_2.1_3G10. RNAcentral's name for it is "bacterial SSU rRNA". It matches the Rfam family "Bacterial small subunit ribosomal RNA", at positions 69 to 652 of the family's 1533-position model. The record is from RNAcentral.
CGAUCCUAGCUUGCUAGGAGGCGUCGAGCGGCGGACGGGUGAGUAACGCGUGAGAAUCUACCCAUGAGUGGGGGACAACCCGGGGAAACUCGGGCUAAUACCGCAUACGCCCUACGGGGUAAAGCAGGGGACCUUCGGGCCUUGCGCUGAUGGAUGAGCUCGCGUCGGAUUAGCUUGUUGGUGAGGUAAAGGCUCACCAAGGCGACGAUCCGUAGCUGGUCUGAGAGGAUGAUCAGCCACACCGGGACUGAGACACGGCCCGGACUCCUACGGGAGGCAGCAGUGGGGAAUCUUGGACAAUGGGGGCAACCCUGAUCCAGCCAUGCCGCGUGUGUGAAGAAGGCCUUCGGGUUGUAAAGCACUUUCAGCAGGGAGGAAGGCUUACCCCUAAUACGGGUGAGUACUUGACGUUACCUGCAGAAGAAGCACCGGCUAAUUUCGUGCCAGCAGCCGCGGUAAUACGAAAGGUGCAAGCGUUAAUCGGAAUUACUGGGCGUAAAGCGCGCGUAGGCGGUGUGUUAAGUCGGAUGUGAAAGCCCAGGGCUCAACCUUGGAAUUGCAUCCGAUACUGGCACGCUAGAGUGCAGU